Molecule: long non-coding RNA, 628 nt
Organism: Anas platyrhynchos (mallard)
Lineage: Eukaryota; Metazoa; Chordata; Aves; Anseriformes; Anatidae
Source: RefSeq, a predicted model, not a curated record
GCUCUGCUGCGGGGUGGUGCCCAGCGCCGGGUUCGUGCGCUGAACCGGGAGGCCGGGGAGGCAAAGCUGCCCCUGCUGCUGCAGCCACCCGUGGAGCUGCCUGUGUGCUCCGCAGCUCGAUCGAAGGGACUUUUUAACCUUCCCUCUGGCAAAGUAGGCUUAUACUGAGAGCUCUCUCUCUCUCUCUUUUUUUUUUUUUUUUUUUCCACUUCCAGAUCAUUUACUUCUUGUAUAUGCUUUCCCUUCCAACUCUUGGAUUAUUUUGCAAAAUCUACAGCUGGGUGUCACAUUCCGAUCAUGGUGUCAUUGCUUCUCAGCACGCAGACAACACCGCUUGCUUUUACAUCACUUUUCUUUGCUGCUACAUUCCAGUAUUAUUACAUUUCAGUAUGCCACACCCAUUGGAUCCCACUGAGACUGACUGGAUAAAGAAGUAGAGAGGAGAAAAAGAGACAGUUGGGGUUCUGUCGGUUGGUUGAUUUUUUUUUUUUUUGUGUGUGUGUGUUUUUUUGCUUGUUUUCAACAGGAUUUACCAAGAACUUGUUCACACCAUUUUACUAUUGGAAAGCAGCUUGUAGUUUUGUAGUAAAGGCUAUUUUCACCAAAGAAAUAAAAUGUUUUUGGAUGU